CUAACUCAUGCAAGUCGAGCGGAUGAAGGGAGCUUGCUCCUGGAUUCAGCGGCGGACGGGUGAGUAAUGCCUAGGAAUCUGCCUGGUAGUGGGGGAUAACGUCCGGAAACGGGCGCUAAUACCGCAUACGUCCUGAGGGAGAAAGUGGGGGAUCUUCGGACCUCACGCUAUCAGAUGAGCCUAGGUCGGAUUAGCUAGUUGGUGGGGUAAAGGCCUACCAAGGCGACGAUCCGUAACUGGUCUGAGAGGAUGAUCAGUCACACUGGAACUGAGACACGGUCCAGACUCCUACGGGAGGCAGCAGUGGGGAAUAUUGGACAAUGGGCGAAAGCCUGAUCCAGCCAUGCCGCGUGUGUGAAGAAGGUCUUCGGAUUGUAAAGCACUUUAAGUUGGGAGGAAGGGCAGUAAGUUAAUACCUUGCUGUUUUGACGUUACCAACAGAAUAAGCACCGGCUAACUUCGUGCCAGCAGCCGCGGUAAUACGAAGGGUGCAAGCGUUAAUCGGAAUUACUGGGCGUAAAGCGCGCGUAGGUGGUUCAGCAAGUUGGAUGUGAAAUCCCCGGGCUCAACCUGGGAACUGCAUCCAAAACUACUGAGCUAGAGUACGGUAGAGGGUGGUGGAAUUUCCUGUGUAGCGGUGAAAUGCGUAGAUAUAGGAAGGAACACCAGUGGCGAAGGCGACCACCUGGACUGAUACUGACACUGAGGUGCGAAAGCGUGGGGAGCAAACAGGAUUGGAUACCCUGGUAGUCCACG
Molecule: ribosomal RNA, 756 nt
Filed under: Pseudomonas aeruginosa
Lineage: Bacteria; Pseudomonadati; Pseudomonadota; Gammaproteobacteria; Pseudomonadales; Pseudomonadaceae
Description: bacterial SSU rRNA
Rfam family: Bacterial small subunit ribosomal RNA
Source: RNAcentral